AGUUAUUGCUGCAACCACUACAACAGAAAAACUUACUACAACAGUGAAGCCAACACCAACAGGAUCCACCACCAGUAUCAAACCGGAGCUCACGACAACAGUGAAAGAAACUACAGCUGGCUCCACACCAGGUCA
This is a non-coding RNA of Chiloscyllium plagiosum (whitespotted bambooshark), 135 nucleotides long. NCBI's taxonomy places the organism in Eukaryota, Metazoa, Chordata, Chondrichthyes, Orectolobiformes, Hemiscylliidae. The record is from RefSeq and is a predicted model, not a curated record.